CAUGUAGGCGGCUGUCUAAGUCUGAUGUGAAAGCCCGGGGCUCAACCCCGGAAGUGCAUUGGAUACUGGGCAGCUUGAGUAUGGGAGAGGAAAGUGGAAUUCCGAGUGUAGGGGUGAAAUCCGUAGAUAUUCGGAGGAACACCAGUGGCGAAGGCGGCUUUCUGGACCAAUACUGACGCUGAGAUGCGAAAGCGUGGGGAGCAAACAGGAUUAGAUACCCUGGUAGUCC
Molecule: ribosomal RNA, 229 nt
Filed under: uncultured bacterium
Lineage: Bacteria
Description: partial 16S ribosomal RNA
Rfam family: Bacterial small subunit ribosomal RNA
Source: RNAcentral